Non-coding RNA from Chelonoidis abingdonii (Abingdon island giant tortoise), 1276 nucleotides. The record is from RefSeq and is a predicted model, not a curated record. Lineage: Eukaryota; Metazoa; Chordata; Testudines; Testudinidae.
AGUACAGCAGAAAGGGAUCUGGGGGGUCACAGUAGAUCACAAGCUAAACUGCAGUCAGUGUAACGUUGUACAAACAUUCUGGGAUGUAUUAGCAGGAGUGUUUUAAGCAAGGUGGAAUUCUUCUGCUCUACUUUGCUGAUACAGCCUCAACUGUAGUAUUGCGUCCUGUUCUGGGUGCCACAUGUCAGGAGAGAGUAGAAAAAAUUUUAAAACGUCUGGAGGAGAGCAACAAAAAUGAUUAAAGGUCUAGAAAACAUGACCUAUAAUAAGCAAAGGUUGAAAAGUUUGGGUUUGUUGGAGAAGAGAGAGACUGAAUGGGGACAUAACGGUUCUCAAGUACAGAAAAGGUUGUUACAAGGAGGCAGGAGAAAAAUUGUUCUCAUUACCCACUGAAGCUAGGACAAGAAGCAAUGGGCUUAAAUUGCAGCAUACUUCCUAUCAGGGUUGUUAAGCACUUAAAUAAAUUGCCUAAGGAGGUUGUGGAAUCUUGGUCACUGGAGGAUUUUAAGAUCAGUUUAGACAGAUACCUGUUAAGGAUGAUCUAGAAUCGAUAAUACUUGCUCGUGCCUUACUUGCAGGGGAUUGGACUAGAUGACCUCUUGAGGUCCCUUACAGUCCAAUGUUGUGUGAAAACUUGUGACCUUGUUCACAGCCCUGAUGGUGGUCUCUUCGAGCUGCUAAGAUGCACAUCUUGAAAGACUCAAAGCUAACCCAUAUUUAACCAAUAAUGUCCACAGAUGACUAAGAAGUAUUGGGCAAAAUUCUGUUCUCAUUCAGCACAGCAUAAAUCUGGAGUAACUCCAUUGAAGUCAUUAGUGUUCUUUGUGUUUAUUUGAAAGCCAAAGGCCCUAAGUGUUUUUCACAGGAAUUUCAAAUUUGAACAGUGAAAUAAAAAAUAGCAUUAAAAGACAUUGCUUUAUGGCUGUAAGUGCACAAAUACUACACGCUCCGCACCCUGCCUCCCACCCACUCUCCUGCAAAACCCUACCAGUGUAUUUUCCUUGUUGCUCUAUUUAGUUAGACAAAACAAGGCCCAUGACUAUUGUCCAAAAAAAAAAAAAAAAUGCCCUCCUCUGUUUCAAAGAGUCACAUUGCAAGGCAAUAAGCUGCCCUUUCAAACAGGCUGACAACAAAAACAUGCUGAUUAAAUGUAACAACCCUGAAUCAACAGCUAUAGGAGACCACUACCAUGUUUUCUGUCCUUUGUUUUAAAGGGUGCUGGCUGUUACUCUUACAAUUGUGAUUUAGCCUAAGUGAGCCAUACGCUCAUUAUUCA